RNAcentral lists this ribosomal RNA (327 nucleotides) under uncultured eukaryote. RNAcentral describes it as "partial 18S ribosomal RNA". It matches the Rfam family "Eukaryotic small subunit ribosomal RNA", at positions 1470 to 1796 of the family's 1831-position model. The record is from RNAcentral.
CCCUUAGAUGUUCUGGGCCGCACGCGCGCUACACUGAUGAAUGCAACGAGCUCUACCCUUGACCGAAAGGCCCGGGUAAACUUGUGAAACUUCAUCGUGAUGGGGAUAGAUUAUUGCAAUUAUUAAUCUUCAACGAGGAAUUCCUAGUAAGCGCGAGUCAUCAGCUCGCGUUGAUUACGUCCCUGCCCUUUGUACACACCGCCCGUCGCGCCUACCGAUUGAAUGGUCCGGUGAAAUCUUCGGAUUGCUGACCAAGAUCCAGCAAUGGAGCUUGGUUGCGAGAAGUUGAUUAAACCUUAUUAUUUAGAGGAAGGAGAAGUCGUAACA